Molecule: long non-coding RNA, 2452 nt
Organism: Monopterus albus (swamp eel)
Lineage: Eukaryota; Metazoa; Chordata; Actinopteri; Synbranchiformes; Synbranchidae
Exons: 2
Source: RefSeq, a predicted model, not a curated record
AAAUGUUUUACACAGUUAAACUAGUUUUACUAAAAACACCUGCACAGUCACAAUGGUCAAAAUGAAGUAAAUAAAUUUCCUACUAUUAUUUUCAUGUUGCAACUUGCUGUUACUAUUUCAGAGGCAAAUAUUGUGCUUUUUUACUCCACUAUAUUUAUUUGAUCAUUUUACUUUUCAGCUUAAUAAAACAAAGCACAGUAUAUACUCUAAGACUUCACUGAUCCUCAGUGGGAAACUCACGAGCUACCCAGCAGUAUGCAAACCAGUUCAACCUGUAAAUAUAUAACUUUACCAACUGCAACAUUAAAGUGAUGUAGACAAUAAUGUGUCAGUAAAUAUAAACCAGUAAUGUGAUAUACAUUAAUCAAAAAUUGCAUUUUAGCACAGCAAGACCUUUUAAUGAGGUACUUUUGGUACUUUAAGUACAAUUUUGAAUGCAGGACUUUUACACUUGUAACAGAAUAUUGUGGCAGCGGGAGGGCAGAGAGACGCUUGGCGGGAUGUCCCAUAAUGCCUGGGGCGGUGUGUAUAUAGUUCAGGUUGUUCGGAGAGUGUGUUCUGUUGCUGUGCGGUUGUACCGUGUGUGGAAAUAAAACAAGAAAAACACAAACUCUGGUCUCCGACCCUUUUUACCUCAGCCAACACUACAAUAUUUUUACACUGUAGUAUUUCUGUGUUUACUUAUAUAAAAUAUCAGAGUACUUCUUUGACCACUUUACAGAACUUCAGUGAGUGCACAACCUGGGUGUGUAUGUGAGAGAACACAGGACAGCGAGAGGGAGAUUGAGCUUUGGUCUGUGUUACAAUGGAUCUUUGGUCUCCUUGGAAACACACAAUAGAGGAAGUUCACAAAGCACUGACCUGCCCACACUUACCUGCCACUUACCAGCAAACCAGCCCUUCAACUGUUCCAGAUUUUCAGGAAGUGGAGAGUCAGCCGUGACAUGGAGGCAGACCAGCUGUCAGGGAGGUGAACAAAGCUCCUGUUUUCAGUCAACAAAGUCACUGUUUUCGGCCAUACUGACAAAACAAGUACAGGACUCAAUGGCCAUGGAUAUCAUCUUAGCUUCUCUGGCAUGUGUCCUUCUGGCCAUUUCUUUUACUACGGUGCAAGGACAAACGAAUGUGACGACCAGCCCUGGCUUAAACUUCACACAUGUGACUACAGUUGUAACUUCAUCCAACUCUACUGAAAAUCCAAACAUGACUGAGGGCACAGUUACAUUUAAAAGCACAACCCAGAACAACGAAACCACAAGUCAGUCCCCGCCUUCUCAGUCAACAACCUCCGUGACUGCUCUGACAAAUGGCACCUCAACAACCUCCGUGACUGCUCUGACAAAUAGCACCUCAUCAACCACCGUGACUGCUCUGACAAAUAGCACCUCAGUGAUGACGACAACACCUGGCAAUCACACUCCGACAUUUACUGCGCUGACAACACCAGCAAUCGAGACCACAGCAGGUUAUACAAGUACACCUGAUACUACAGUAAUUACAAUAUCAAAAUCACCUCCCACUGCCAGUACAAGCUCAGACUCAGAGGACAGAACCACACAAGGUAAGCAUCAGGCUGUGUGUUCUUAUUUGAGGUUUAAUUAAUGAUUUAAUUGCUCAUAAUUGUCAGUUACUAUAACUUCACCCUUUUCUUCAUGUGCUUCUAGGUUUGGGGUUAAACAUAUCGGAAAAGAAUCUGACUAUUGUCUUCAGUGUUAUACUGGGAGUGUUUGCUGUGGUACUGGUCGUGUUCAUGUUUCACAGAUGCAAACAAAAAGUCCAAUAUUUGCAUCAACCUCUUCACAACAAUGGUGACACAGGUAGGAGUUUUCCAUUUAUCAUAUGUGAGACAGAACCUAAUUUACUUAUCAUUACCUGUUAAAAACUAAACAUUUAAUCUUCAACAGAUGUAUUUGUGACAGACGAUGACACACUUGUAAUAUCUGGAGGACUUUAUGACGGACACCCGAUAUAUGACAACGUACCAACAGCCCCAGCAGACCAAUCUCAAUUUCGCCUCGAGUUCCUUCAUUAAAGAGAGAGAAGUCCCUUCUGACACUUACCAAACAUGGACAUAACCAGUUUUCCUAAUACACAUAUUACCACAAUUUCAAAACUGAAGUCCCUGUGAAAUGUUAAUCCAUAAAAUGCUAAUGACAGAGGAGGAGAGAACACUGCUGAUCAAUUUGACCUCAACUUUUACUUAUAUCGCUGCCAAUACUAGGACACACGAAUAUUAAAUACAUAUAUUAAGAGAGUAACACAUGACACCACCCCAGCAAUAUAAACUUGUGCAGAAUGAAUAAGAUUUCAUGUGAACACCAGUAAAGAUAAAUUAUUCCAUACAACAGUGCUACAACAAACAGAACAUUUUCCAAAGUACCUGAAAGCACAGAGGGUGACUCUACAGUCACUUAACACUGAACUCUGAACAAACUUGCCACAAAAGCUGGAA